GAUGAAGAACGUAGUGAAAUGCGAUAAGUAAUGUGAAUUGCAGAAUUCAGUGAAUCAUCGAAUCUUUGAACGCACAUUGCGCCCCCUGGUAUUCCGGGGGGCAUGCCUGUUCGAGCGUCAUUUCACCACUCAAGCCUCGCUUGGUAUUGGGCAACGCGGUCCGCCGCGUGCCUCAAAUCGACCGGCUGGGUCUUCUGUCCCCUAAGCGUUGUGGAAACUAUUCGCUAAAGGGUGUUCGGAAGGCUACGCCGUAAAACAACCCCAUUUCUAAGGUUGACCUCGGAUCAGGUAGGGAUACCCGCUGAACUUAAGCAUAUCAAUAAGCGGAGGA
RNAcentral lists this unclassified non-coding RNA (331 nucleotides) under soil metagenome. RNAcentral describes it as "partial contains 5.8S ribosomal RNA, internal transcribed spacer 2, and large subunit ribosomal RNA". The stretch from base 1 to 120 matches the Rfam family "5.8S ribosomal RNA", at positions 35 to 154 of the family's 154-position model. The record is from RNAcentral.